ACGAACGCUGGCGGCGUGCCUAAUACAUGCAAGUCGAACGGUCUUUCUAUGGAAGCUUGCUUCCACUGAGAAGAUAGUGGCGAACGGGUGAGUAACACGUGGGUAACCUGCCCAUAAGAGGGGGAUAACAUCCGGAAACGGGUGCUAAUACCGCAUAGUUUUCUUGAUUGCAUGAUUGAGAAAGGAAAGACGGCCUUUGUGCUGUCGCUUAUGGAUGGACCCGCGGCGUAUUAGUUAGUUGGUGAGGUAACGGCUCACCAAGACGAUGAUACGUAGCCGACCUGAGAGGGUGAUCGGCCACAUUGGGACUGAGACACGGCCCAAACUCCUACGGGAGGCAGCAGUAGGGAAUCUUCCGCAAUGGACGAAAGUCUGACGGAGCAACGCCGCGUGAGUGAAGAAAGGUUUUCGGAUCGUAAAACUCUGUUGUCAGAGAAGAACAAGUUGGAGAGUAACUGCUCCAGCCUUGACGGUAUCUGACCAGAAAGCCACGGCUAACUACGUGCCAGCCGCCGC
RNAcentral lists this ribosomal RNA (516 nucleotides) under uncultured bacterium. Its description in RNAcentral is "bacterial SSU rRNA". It matches the Rfam family "Bacterial small subunit ribosomal RNA", at positions 29 to 518 of the family's 1533-position model. The record is from RNAcentral.